This 1333-nucleotide small RNA is filed under the name Pan troglodytes (chimpanzee). Its description in RNAcentral is "retained intron". The record is from RNAcentral. Lineage: Eukaryota; Metazoa; Chordata; Mammalia; Primates; Hominidae.
GAGUGCGCAGGACUGGCAAGAGGGAAGCCGGGCUGCUCCACGCCUUUCACGCCUUCCACCUCCUGCGUGUCCAUCUGUGAGAAGGAGCCAGAGCCCAAGGGAGAUGAUGGAGCCUGAGGAGUACAGAGAGAGAGGGAGAGAGAUGGUGGAUUACAUCUGCCAGUACCUGAGCACUCUGCGGGAGAGACGUGUGACACCAGACGUGCAGCCUGGCUACCUGCGAGCCCAGCUGCCUGAGAGUGCUCCUGAGGACCCCGACAGCUGGGACAGCAUCUUUGGGGACAUUGAACGAAUCAUCAUGCCUGGGAGCACGGUCAGUGAAUCCACUUUGAUUGCCCUGCUGGCAGCAAGGAAGAACAAAAUCCUGGAAAUGAAAACGUCUGAGCCCGAUGCUGAUGAGUCCUGCCUAAAUGCCCGACUCGUGGCCUAUGCCUCUGACCAGGCUCACUCCUCUGUGGAAAAGGCUGGUUUGAUUUCCCUUGUGAAGAUGAAAUUUCUGCCUGUGGAUGACAACUUCUCACUCCGAGGGGAAGCUCUUCAGAAGGCCAUCGAGGAAGACAAGCAGCGGGGCUUGGUGCCCGUCUUUGUCUGUGCAACACUAGGGACCACUGGGGUCUGUGCAUUUGACUGCCUGUCAGAGCUGGGCCCCAUCUGUAAGUAUCUUCCCUCUCUGGCUAGGAAGACAAGGAAUACAUUUUUAAAUGUCUCCUAAAGCAAGGACCUGAAACCAGCUCUAUGGGAUUAUUCUUGUUCCUCUUUGGUCAAUGCAGAGACAUGGGAAGAACCACCAAAGGUCAUGAGGGUCUCUUCCAGGGAUCCCUGGACAUUGCCUUUCCCAGUGGUGUGACAAGAGUUAGAGGUGGCCUACCUUGCCUUCUGUCCUAGGAGGCGACAGUAGGAGAGCCUUCAGUUUUCUCAUCCUCUUACUUGUAUGUUGAACUUUACUUAAUGCAGGCUAUAUCCAAAAUACAGUGUGAAUUAGGCUAGAAUAGAAAUGCUUUCUAUUCUACCUUCAGAAAAGGAAAAGGGUAGGGUAGGGGAAAUCAUGGGAGAGAUUAAAGGCAGAGAGGAAACCCAGAUGGGACUGUUUAAUCCCCAAGCAAGAAACCACUAGGAAAGAGAGAUACCUUCCCUCUAACUUUUGUAUUCGGUGCACUGACAUUGCUCUCUGUGCUGGUGGGAAAUUGAUUUCUGUGCCAGGAUGUUCUAGGCUGAGGCCAAGAGGGUGCUGGCCCUUUACCCAGUGGAAGAAAAAGGCAAGGGUGAGGCUUUGUAGACUUUCCCGUUAGGAGGUAAUGAUGCCUCCUUCAGCCCCACUUCUUCAAACUGACUC